ACUCCUACGGGAGGCAGCAGUGGGGAAUAUUGCACAAUGGGCGCAAGCCUGAUGCAGCCAUGCCGCGUGUGUGAAGAAGGCCUUCGGGUUGUAAAGCACUUUCAGUCGUGAGGAAGGCGGGUACGUUAAUAGCGUAUUCGUUUGACGUUAGCGACAGAAGAAGCACCGGCUAACUCCGUGCCAGCAGCCGCGGUAAUACGGAGGGUGCGAGCGUUAAUCGGAAUUACUGGGCGUAAAGCGCAUGCAGGUGGUUUGUUAAGUCAGAUGUGAAAGCCCGGGGGCGUCAACCUCGGAAUAGCAUUUGAAACUGGCAGACUAGAGUACUGUAGAGGGGGUAGGAAUUUCAGGUGUAGCGGUGAAAUGCGUAGAGAUCUGAAGGAAUACCGGUGGCGAAGGCGGCCCCCUGGACAGAUACUGACACUCAGAUGCGAAAGCGUGGGGAGCAAACAGGAUUAGAUACCCUGGUAGGACAGUG
This 475-nucleotide ribosomal RNA is filed under the name uncultured bacterium. RNAcentral describes it as "bacterial SSU rRNA". It matches the Rfam family "Bacterial small subunit ribosomal RNA", at positions 335 to 799 of the family's 1533-position model. The record is from RNAcentral.